CCCAGUUCUCUUGGGUCCCCGUCCUUCCUUCUGUCCACCAGCCCGCAUUGGCUCUCAUCCGUGGCGCCAGGCCCUCGGAAGCGAAGGAGGAGGGGAGCCUGCCCACGGGUAGCACAAGCCUGCUGACCACCGACACUUCUCUCCCUGCAGGUGGAGGAGUGGGAGUGCCGCCAGCUGCAGGAAACCGUCCGCCUGGACAGCCUCCCCAGGGAUCCAGCUCCUUAUCGCCUCCUGGAGAAGGAAACCCUAUACCAGGUCAGUCCACCAACGUCCCUUCUGCAAAAUGGAGUGGGGACGUAGCCCCACAGGCGUGCCCCUCUCCCAGUCCCCAAACAGCUGUCUUCUUGGGGAAUAAUAAUGAUAUAAUGAUAAUAAUGCUAAUAAUAGUCUGAGAAUGGCGGAGCUGGAAGGGACCCUCUGGAAGAUGGAGUCCAGCCCUGGUUAAGGACAGCCUUGGGAUCAAACUCCCAACCUGUGGCUCUGCAGCCAGAGAUCAUCUAGGCCACCGAGCUACCCAGCAGGGGACUGGGUUUGUAGGAUCUGGUGCCCGCCUCGAACCCACCACGGAGGGCUGGGCCCCCACAGGUGCCUCUUAGGACUCAUGGCCAUUGCUUAUCCACAGAGUCCGGAGCCCUUCCACGGUUGGUCUGCAAACCCCCAGAGACUGGGCGCGCUGGGGGAGGUCGGGUGGCUAUCAUGACAAUCAUCCUCUUUCUGGGCUCUGGGAGGAGACAAUGGCCUCACCUGCCAAAAAUGGGAGUUUUCUGCAGCAUGUGAGAAGGCGGAAGAUGCGCCACUGAGAAAAGACCAGGCAGGCCUCCCGGGGUGACGGCGCUGUACGGAUGCAGAUCUGGAGCGACCUUGUUUGCAGAGCCCACCGUUUUGCUUCUUCCUCUCCCCUCCGCAGUGCUACGACCUCUUUCACCUCCUCCGUCUCCGGACGGCCUAUGUGACCAACCAUCGGGGCCAGCUGGUGGGCGUGGUGGCUCUCAAGGAGCUCAAGGCGGCCAUCGAAGUGUGCGUCAGCGGCACCUUAACCACCAAAUCCCAACAUCAGUCACGCGAGCUGGGAAUCCGGGAACGGAAGCCAUCGGAGGAGGUGGAACUCACAAGCCCCCCAGCAUAAAGUGGGAUGGAGGGGGGGGCAGGCCGUCAGGAGCAACCCCCCCAAAAAAAACCUCCCUGAAAGUCUGUGCAACCUCUUGUCGCGUGGCGUGACUCUUCACCCGCCCAGCCUUGCCCCCGACGGACAACAGACGAUGCCUGAAGGGUGAAAUAGGGUGGGAGACGGAGGCUGCUGCAAGAAAGAAUCACCAGAAAGGGGCAGAUGAUCGACCAACGAGGGGAAGGAGAAGCAUUUGGGAAAACGCAAAGGAUGGGAGUUUUCAGGGAACGUGACAGAGACAGCCUCCAAACCUCCCCGUUUUUUGUUUAGUAUUUUUGAGGACAAAAAACGGUCUCCUGAUGCCAUCUAGAUAGUGUGAGGGACUACUUACUCCCCAGCACCCUCUGGCCGAUGCUCCCUGCCAAAGUUUAAAUUUAAAAGAAUUCACCACUAGAGGGCGAAAGGGGGACUUUCCCAGUACUAAAAAAAAUGUAUAAUUUCUAAAUAUAAAGGGGAAAAUGGGAGUCUGGGAAGGAAAUAAAGCUCUCCAAGGUUCAGAAAAAAUGGUGAUG
This 1677-nucleotide long non-coding RNA is filed under the name Pogona vitticeps (central bearded dragon). RNAcentral's name for it is "lncRNA (ENSPVIG00000010767.1)". The record is from RNAcentral. Lineage: Eukaryota; Metazoa; Chordata; Lepidosauria; Squamata; Agamidae.